GUGACUAUGCGACGCCGCGUGCAGGAUGAAGGCCUUCGGGUCGUAAACUGCUGUCAGGGGGGAAGAAACCCUUAUAUUUAAAAGAUGUAAGGCUGACAUCACCCCCAAAGGAAGCCACGGCUAACUCUGUGCCAGCAGCCGCGGUAAUACAGAGGUGGCAAGCGUUGUUCGGAAUCACUGGGCAUAAAGGGCGCGUAGGCGGCGAAGCGAGUCGGGUGUGAAAUCCCUCAGCUCGACUGAGGAACUGCGCCCGAAACUACCUUGCUAGAGUGCAGGAGAGGAGAGUGAAACUCCUAGUGGAGCGGUGAAAUGCGUAGAGAUUAGGAGGAACGCCGGUGGCGAAAGCGACUCUCUGGCCUGCUACUGACGCUGAGGCGCGAAAGCUAGGGGAGCAAACGGGAUUAGAUACCCCGGUAGUCCUAGCCGUAAACGAU
This 434-nucleotide ribosomal RNA is filed under the name uncultured soil bacterium. RNAcentral describes it as "bacterial SSU rRNA". It matches the Rfam family "Bacterial small subunit ribosomal RNA", at positions 383 to 810 of the family's 1533-position model. The record is from RNAcentral.